GCCGAUAUAGCUCAGCUGGUAGAGCAGCUGUUUUGUAAACAGCAGGUCGUCGGAUCAUACCCGGCUAUCGGCU
This 73-nucleotide transfer RNA is filed under the name Candidatus Cacconaster equi. RNAcentral describes it as "tRNA-Thr". It matches the Rfam family "tRNA". From Rfam's summary of the family: Transfer RNA (tRNA) molecules are approximately 80 nucleotides in length. Lineage: Bacteria; Pseudomonadati; Bacteroidota; Bacteroidia; Bacteroidales. RNAcentral also lists the same sequence under 1 other name. The record is from RNAcentral.